The sequence is a small nucleolar RNA, 112 nucleotides long. It matches the Rfam family "Plant small nucleolar RNA R71". From Rfam's summary of the family: R71 is a member of the C/D box family of snoRNAs containing the C (UGAUGA) and D (CUGA) box motifs. Multiple nearly identical copies of this snoRNA have been identified in Arabidopsis, and it is thought to function as a 2'-O-ribose methylation guide for 18S ribosomal RNA. The record is from Rfam.
AUGCCAUAAUGAGGACACCUUCUGAGUAGUUCUUUAAAUCUCUCCCAAGCCUCAUACAAACUCUCAUCUUCAAGUUGAUGAAAAGAAGUGAUCUCAUUCCGCAAGUGAUCUC